RNAcentral lists this ribosomal RNA (238 nucleotides) under uncultured bacterium. RNAcentral's name for it is "partial 16S ribosomal RNA". It matches the Rfam family "Bacterial small subunit ribosomal RNA", at positions 84 to 334 of the family's 1533-position model. The record is from RNAcentral.
UGGUGAGUAAAGUGGCGUACGGGUGAGUAACACGUGGAUAAUCUACCCUGGAGUGGGGAAUAACGCUGGGAAACCGGCGCUAAUACCGCAUAAUCCCGAGAGGGCAAAGGAAGAAAUUUCGCUUCAGGAGGAGUCCGCGGCCGAUUAGCUAGUUGGCAGGGUAAAAGCCUACCAAGGCAACGAUCGGUAGCCGGCCUGAGAGGGCACACGGCCACACUGGCACUGAAACACGGGCCAG